Molecule: long non-coding RNA, 13887 nt
Filed under: Nicotiana tabacum (common tobacco)
Lineage: Eukaryota; Viridiplantae; Streptophyta; Magnoliopsida; Solanales; Solanaceae
Description: long non-coding RNA (NTAB_LNC006194)
Source: RNAcentral
UAAAGUUAAAACCUAAAAAUAGCUGGACCCCAACUUUUCCCAUCAACCGUUUUGCUUGAUCUUCUACAGAUCCAUCGUCUCUCACACAAAAAUGGAGACAUUUCCUUAAUCUAGCUAAAAGAAAGAACUCUCAGCUGAAGGAGCGAUUAUAUUUGUAGAGGCAAGACCUAUAGAAAAAGAAAAAAAAAGAAAAACGGUGCAGCAGAAAAGGGAAUCUGAUUGGGAACCAAAAUUGGGAUCUAAACGAAACAAAAAAAGGCGACGUCGAUUCCAAAAGAAAAGAGACCACUGUCUCAAAUUCCCAAAACAAUUUUGAGGACCCGUCAGAGGUUCGUCGGAGUUUCACCACUUCUGACGAGCUCUCUUUCACCAUAAAACGCAGCAGCUCAAUUGUUCUCUUAAUUUGAGUUCAGCCCGUGAAGGUCGUCGAGGUCACCGUGGUCUUGAGAAUAAAGUUGAUUCACUAAAGGUAUUUUAUUUGUUUUUCUUCUUCAGAUCUUGUCUUCAUGAUUUAUUGAAAUUUUAAGGUCAUUAAUUGUUUGAUUAAGCAUUAAAAUUAGGGAUAACAUAUAUUGCUACUUUGAAGAUUUGAUACUUUUGGCCCUUUCUGUUUUUUUUUACUUCUUGAAAAAUGACAUUAUGUUUGGUGCCUUAGUUAAUGUUUUACUGUCUAGAUCUAUCGUUGUAGUUUCUUGGUUCAUGAAUUAACAUUAUGCUAGCUAUCAUUGCUUUAGUUUGUUGGAUAAAUAUUGAAUCACAUAAGUACAUAACUGUAAUGUGAAGAACAAUGAGAGGUGGGUUUGAUUCCAGUUCUUAGGAAAGGAAGCAGAUUUGGGCCUACAGAGCUGGCCCAACUCAGAAACUCUACUGCUAUUAACCCACCUAUGAUUUGCAAUGUAGAUAAUUCUCCUAACUGUAAUAAUAGAAAAGUUAUACUUUUUUCCCAUAAUAAUUUCCAUACAUAUGGCCUUCUAUAAUCUCAAAUUUUAGGAAAAUAAUCACUCUAGAACAUCGUAGCUUGCUUUAGGCGCGACCAAUAAUAAAUUAUCGUGGUCAUGGGUACGGUUCCCGUGGCAUGGUUACGAUACGUGAAUCUCAAUUCGGAGGUGCAUUUCAUAUAACCCGAUCAUAACAAUUUCGAAUAAUAAAACCCUUUGAAAUAAAUUGAGGCGUGUCAUGCCAAGCAAAAUUUAUAAUCCAUGGCCUUCAUAAGAUUAGAUUCAGGAACUAACACUUAUAGAAAAAGGUUUGAGGUGUGCUAUAAAUAAAUUAAAUCAUCUGUUGCCCUCACAAAUGUUGCUAUUGAAAAUUGAAUCUUCAUAGUUGCUUUGGGCGCGUUACUUAAAUAAUUCAUCAUAGCUACGGGUACGGUUCCGUGAUGUAGUUGUGGUUUUUUUAAUUAUUAAAAUUCGGGUGUACAUUUCAUGUGACCCAAUUUCAAUCUUCAACAAUGUUAAAUAAAGCGUGUUGCGAACCACGGGUGCAUUUCAUGUAGCGUGGUUUAAGACGUGUUUUAAAUAGCAUUGAAUUUUCCUAAAAAAUAACUAAAGCGUUUACAAAAGCUAAAAAUGCACAAUAGGUUAAAACAUGUAGUUAAUCAGAUAAUAGGCCAUUUUUAACAGUUCAAGUGACCGUGCUAGAACCUCGGAACCCGGGAAUGUCUAACACCUUAUCUCGGGUUAACAUAAUUUCUUAUCAAGANNNNNNNNNNNNNNNNNNNNCUUAAAUUAGAAAAAAUUCUCCUAUAUACCCUCGGGUGUGUAAAAAGGAGGUGUGACAGCUCUGGCGACUCUGUUAGGGACCAAAACCCAAAACUUUGAUUUAAGGUUCAAGAAAUCGAGCGUAGAAUAACUGUUAUAGUUGGCUUGUUUUUAUCUGAUUUUUACAUGUUGAACAUAAUGUGCUAAUUGCCGCUUUUUACAGCUUUGAUAUUGUUUGGACUAUAUAGAAAUUGCUACGAAAGCCUCCUCUCUCUGAGUCUUCUAAAUCAUCUGGGAAGUAUGCACUUCGUGUGACUUCUUUUCUGUUAGAGUCAUUGUCCCAAUUUUAGAACGAGGUUCAGACAAGUUGCAAAGGCAGCGAAGCUUCUGUAUUCCCGGUACGCUACCCUCCCCUCCCUCCCCCCGUCCUCGGCUCGAGCUGUCCGCUCGGGUAAGCCAGGUUUAGAAUAAUACACCCAGGUUUUUAAACUUAGAAUAACACAGCCUCAUGUCGAAUCCCUAGUAGGUACGUUUGUUUGCAUCACGUGCAUCCGACUUUGGGGACUCAACACAGGGAUUGUGUCCGUCUAGGACAGGUGUACCCAAAUAUUAAAAAGACCAUCCUGAUGCAUCUUACGGGCUACUUGCACAUUUGUUUGAUUCGGCUUGCAUGUUAAUCGGCUUCUAGAAUAAGGAAAGAAAAUCAACAAAAAAAAAAGAAAAUAAAAAAAAUUGAUGAAAAAAACCAAGAAUGAGACAAGGUCAUUUCAAAAUGAGCCAAAAAAUUUCAAGUGCCAUGUUUUCCGUGUUCCGUCAAAACUGACCGAACUACGCGGGUCUGAUUCUCACCGGAAGUGAGAUACGUAGACAAACCUCAUCGGUUCCGACCCCAAUUUUAAAAAAUCCAAAAAUAUUUUCCUUUAGUUCCUUCUUUAAAAAUCUUUCCUUAGAAAAUUCAAAAAAAAAAAAAUGUUUUUAAACUCAAAAAAGUAGUUUCCUUCUUUCUGAAAUCUUUUAUAUGGAAAAAAGAAAUUAAAAAAAAUCAAUCAAAAAUCAAAAUCCAAAAUACGAGUUUCAUUUAUUUUGAAGUAUUUUUCCCAAAAAGAUUUUUAAAAAAAAAGAUAAAAAACUUUUUCCUUGUUUAAAGUCUUUCAUUCAAAAAAAAAAAGGCCUUUCAUUAAAAAAAAAAUUGAAAAAUUUUAGUCCAAAAUAUUUUCGCUUUUGUUUAGAAGUGUUUUGUAAAUAAAUAAAAACUCUAAAAUCCAAUCUUUUUUUUUCUUAAAAAUCCCUCUUUCGAAAAUUUAAGAGACAACAUCCAAAAUCCAAAAAUAUUUUUUCUUUCUUCUUUAGGAAAAGAGAAAACAAAUGAAAGUUCAAACAAAAUUAUUUUCUUUUUACAUUUAAAAUUUCCAAAGUUCAAAUCAAAAGAGGAGUGAAUUUUUAGAAGUCUAUCUUUAAAAAAUCAAACAUAAAAAUAAAAAUCAAAAAAAUAUGUCUUUUUUCUUUUAAAGCAUUUCUUUCGGAAAAAAAAUUUCAAAAAAAUAUGUUUUUCUUUUUUUUAAAGCUUUCAUGGUUUGAGUUUUAUAAACAAAUUAAACAAAAAAAUGAGUUAGUUUAUUUACUCCAUUCUCGAUCUUCCUGAAAUACGCAAGAUCUGAUUCAUUCGGCGUUAUGAUACGUAGACAAUCCCCAUCGAAUUCGAUCAUAGCCAUAGGAUUAAUUGAGUGAAAAAUAAACUGAAAAAAAAAAGAGAAAGAAAAAUUGAGUAAAAAACAAGGAGAAAGAAAAGAGUGAAAAAAGGGAAGAGAGUGACAAAGAAAUUAAAGAGUGACAAAAAUAAAAAAAAGAAACUAGAGUGCCAAAAAAUAAAAGAGCGGCAAAAAUAAAAAAUCAAGAGUGAUUAAAAAGAAGCAGAAAUAAAAGAAAAGAGAUAUUUGAGUGAAAAAGAGAGUUAGUUUAAGGCCGGGAUGAAACAUGCAACCGUUCAAACACAUGGUAGAAACGUUUAACUAUUUAGGUGCAUUGCAUCCAAAUGUGCGAUUUCCUAUAUGUUAAGUGUCUCAAAACUAACAAGGUUGUUUAGUGUGCAAAUUAGUCAGGUUUUGGUGGUUGGUUUUGUUGGUAGUCUAGUCUCUCCUCUUUCACAAGAUUCAAAGGAACAGAUGGCCACCGCAAGCAAUCCACCAAUCAUCGGUCCUGAGGAUAGCUCGGCAUCGACUGUUCUGCAGCUAGAAUCAGCAGCCGCUGAAGAGAAUAAGAUGUUGCAUCUCCGCAUAUUGGAAAUGUGGGACGCCUGGUCUAAUGGUAGGGAACCUCCAAGUGCAAUCCCUGAGUUGAUCCCCAGGUCAGGUGAGGUUACAAACACCCAUGUGUCCAACCCGCUCAUCCCAUACGGGCAUCCUCCAAUGCCUUCCAAUGAUCCUGGCAUGCCUUCUGUGGUUCUCCCCCAAGCACCGGCUUCGAGGGCACCACUUCCAAUGUUCAUCUUUUAGGGUCCACAGCUUUAACCAGAAAUUACAUAUGUGACCCCGUACUCUUUCACUCAACCUCCACAAUAUGACCUCUCGGUGGAGCAAGAAAAGGUUGUGAAAAAUCCCGAGCAAGAGGAAAUGCCACGGAAGAUGAAGAGCCUGGAACAAAGCCUGAAAAACAUGCAAGGUCUAAGUGGUAAGAAGAGUAUCUCAUACUCUGACCUCUAUAUGUUUCCCCAUGUCCACUUGCCAGCUAACUUCAAGAUGCCAAAAUUUGAAAAGUAUGACGGGCACAAAGACCUGGUCACUCAUCUAAAAUGAUAUUAUAACCAGUUGAGGGGUGCUGGUGGAAGAGAGGAGUUGCUAAUGGCCUAUUUUGGGGAAAGCCUCACCAGAAUCGCUUCUGAGUGGUAUACGGAUCAAGAAAUUACCCAUUGGCACGUGUGGAACGAUAUGGCUCGAGAUUUUGUUCGCCAAUUCCAAUAUAAUGUGGACAUCGCUCCCGACAAAAACUCCUUGUCCAAUUUGAAAAAGAAAACCGCGGAAAGCUUCCGCGAAUAUGCUGUCAAAUGGCGUGAUCGAGCUGCCAAGGUAAAGCCUUCAAUGGACAAAACUGAAAUGGCCAUAGUCUUUCUGUAGGCCCAAGAGGCUGACUACUUCCAGAACAUGAUGUCUGUUGUGGGUAAGCCGUUCACCGAGGCUAUCAAAAUUGGGGAAAUGGUUGAAAACGGUCUAAAAACGGGCCGAAUCUUGAGUCAUGCUGCUUUUAAAGCCACAUCACCAGAUGUUCAAAAUGGUUCAAAGGGUUUGAUGAACACAAAUGGGAAUGAGGAGGGAGCUAUGAUGGUUUCAAGCUCGAGGGGGCCCGUAGGUCAUUCAGCUAGUCAUGUGUGCCUUCUAUGGUCCCACCACACUGUUAUCCCCUUCAAGAUGAUGCUUAUGUCCUUGAAACAACUGCCAAUGCAAAUGCAAUCAAAAGGUACUAUGUUGGAUCCUCUAUAUAGCAUUAAUGUUCUCCGGUUGAGAUAAAGAAGACUUUCUUUCUCACUACCCAAACACUACCAACCAUUUGCAAACCCUUUGAGCCGGUUACUCUUCUUUGAUUACCCCUUUUGGAACCUGAAAAUGUUAUUGAAAAAAACUAAUAAAUUAAAAAAAGGGAAAAAAUCAAAAAAGGAGAAGAAAAAGAAAGAUACAAAAAAAGAGAGGAAGAAAAUACAAAGAAAUGAAAUGAAAAAAAUGAAAAUGAAAAAAAAGAAAGGAAAAAGAAAGAGAACAAAACAAAACAGAAAAAAGAAGAAAAGAAAAUAAAAAACAAAAUUUCAUGAACUAUGUUCGACUUGAUUCCGAAAGGAUACAUAGGCACCCUCUCUCUGGGGUUCGGUCACACCAAAACAAAAAUCCACAUUCCCCCCAAAGUUGAAACUGGGGCAGAAGUUAUAAUGGUUCGGCAAUUGUUUCGCCUGAAAGAUUCCAAAGUUGUAAUUCAAUCCAAAUUCUUUUUACCCCAAAUUCUUUCAAGUCCUUCCGAUCAAUCGGUAAAAGAUGUUCAAAAUUGGAGGAUACAGUUACUUGGAUCUAAUACAAAAAAUGAGAGAAAUAAAAUGAGAGUCUUAUUGGUGAAAACCCAUACGCGCACCGUAAGGCAAUGGUAAACAGAGAAAUAAAAUGAGAGAGUCUUAUUGGUGAAAACCCACACGGGCACCGUGAGGUGACAGUAAGCAAAGAAACUAGAAAUAAGAGAGUCUUGUUAGUGAAAACUUGCAAAGAGCACUAUAAGGCAAUGGUGAGAAGAGAAAUGAGAGUGGCCAGCUAGUGAAAACCCGCAAAGGGCACCACUAAUCGAAAAGAAGAUCCUCACAGCCAUCGACAUCCACAGAGUCCUGGCAAGAUUUCUCGAUUUUGAGGCAAAAGUUGGGAUGAAUUUCUGAGAGUCGGACAGUUUACACAGAUCAGGCAUCCAGUCUAAAAGGCAUGUCAUGUUCAUUAAAGUCCGCAUGUACUCCAGAUAAGUCCUUCUUUCCUUUCCUCGAAAGGGACACAUCUUGUUUAAACUCACUCUCAAUUCCUUUGUUUAUUUUCUUUGAAUCCCUUUCGGUCUAACUCUGUUCCGAAACUAAGACAAAGAAAGGAUGGUAAGACUGAUUUACACGGUUCUCAUUUGAUACAAGCUAAUAUGCGAAAAGGCACCCAGCCUCAUCAGGGGCAUCAAAUCGACCUCGACCAGCCAUGGCGGCCGAUGCUUCGAAAUCAAAACUCUUGGAAGGAGAAAGUCAAAUUGAAGUGCCUAUAAAGGCAAAUGAAGUUGAAAAGGUUGAGUCCCACGUGACUAACCGUCUCGGCAAAGGUUUGAAAAGCCAAGGCACCCAAAUGUUCUGAAAUUGAAGUUAGAAGAAAGAAUCCAGAAAUGAAAGGCCUACGAAGGCGAAAUAAAGUUGGAAAAGGUAAGUCCCACGCGACUAGCCGUUGCAGCAAGUUUGAGAAGCCAAAAAGUUCUCCGAUGCUCCGAAGAAAAAAAAAGAGAGAAGGAAGUCAGAAAGGAAAGGCCUACAAAGGCAAAAUAAAGUCGAAAAGGUUGAGUUCCACUGACCAACCAUCAUGACAAAGUCUAGAAAAAACCAUAGGUUCUCCAGGGCCUGAAAUGAAAUCGGUCCCCAGGAAACGACCAGUUGCAAUUGAGAUCUUCAUCAAAGAAGCCGCGCUGAGAAUCAAGUGAUUGAAACAAUCAAGGCCACAAAACCAACCCGCCGUUUCAAAUUAACAAUCAUUCUUUGUUUGAAAACAUGAAACAGGUGCCAUCCAAAGCAACCUUGCAAGAAGCAUGUGCAACCAAAAAGAAACUGCGCAAGGGCUAGAAACAACUUUGCAACAAUAAUCAAUCCAAAAGGGAAGUCUCUUCCGAAUUCUUUCCUGCAUUUUUACUCAUUUUCUUAAAAUAUAAGAAGAAGAAAAUUCAAAUCAUGGUAGCAUAGGGUCUCACUCCCUAGCUGAUGCCAGCAUAACCUGGUAAUCUCUUCCAACAUAUGGUCUCAUUCCCUAGUCGCUGCCAGCAUAACCUGGUAGUCUUUUCCAAUAUAGGGUUCCACUCCCUAAUUGAUCUCCGACAUAACCCGAGGACCUUUUCUCGGCAUAAUCCGAUGACUUUGCCAGCAUAACCCGAUAACCUUUCCCGGCAUAACCCAAUGACCUUUUUCUUUUCCGACAUAACCCGAUGACCUUCUUAGCAUAACCAGAGGACACUUUUCUUUUCCGACAUAACCCGAUGACUUUCCCGACAUAACCCGUGGACCUCCCCGGCAUAACCAGAGGAUCUUUUUCUUUUUCGGCAUAACCCGAUGACUUUUUCUGACAUAACCCAAGAACUUUUUUCUUUCCCGACAUAACCGAUGGACACCCCCGGCAUAACCCAAAGACCUUUUUCUUUUCCAGCAUAACCCGAUGACCUUUUUCUUUACCGGCAUAACUCGUGGACCUCCCCAGCUUAACCCGAGAACCUUUUUCUUUUCCAGCAUAACCCGAUGACCUUUCCCGGCAUACCCCAUGGACCUCCCCGGCAUAACCUGAGGACUUUUUUUUCCAGCAUAACCCGAUGACCUUUUUUCUUAUUCCAGCAUAACCCGAGGACCUUUCCGGCAUAACCCGAUCAUUUUUCUAACAUAACCUGUUAAUCUCUUCCAACAUAUGAUCACAUUCCCUAGCUGAUGUCAGCAUAACAUGGUAAUCCUUUCCAAUAUAGGAUCUCACUCCCUAGCUGAUGCCAGCAUAACCUGGUAAUCUUUUCCGGCAUAGGGUCUCAUUCCUUAGUUGAUGCUAGCAUAACCUGGUAAUCUUUUCAACUUAGGAUAUCCGAUCCCCUUUUGAUUUUAUUUUAGAUAUAGGGCCUCCACUCCUAAUCUCUUUUCCUCAGGAAUACACAAUCCCGAUUUUAAUUGCUUUCAAUAAAGAAAUAGUUUAGAUUUUGUUACAAUAACUCGCGAAAUUUUCAUAGUGAAAACUGGGGCAGAAAAAUUUCGUUCGUUUGUUUGUUUUGGUGUCUUAGCAGGUUAUACUUCAAGGCACAGGGUUCGAGAUGACCGUAAGAAGAUUUCUCAAUCCAGAAUAAAAAAAAAGAAAGAACAAGAAAAGAAGUGAACUUCAAGUGCAAAAGCGAAGAAAAGAUGCAAACUGCUCAAGAUAUGAUUGAAGUUACGAGUUUUGCAUGUCCCGCCUUGAUCCGAAGAGCUGAAGAAAAAUGAACCAACAUUCGCAGCUAACGAACAUCAAGAAUCAGAUCAGAGUCUGCAGCAAGAACCAACCAAGACUCAAGAUCAAGCUUCAGAAAACUCAUAAAUAGGAAUCUUGUAACUCGUACCUCAUAAGCUUAGUUAGUCUUUUUCAUUUUUGAUGUAAUAACAGGACCGAGGACCGGAACCUCGACGGAAACUCAAUCGACUCUCGAACGCAUCACUCCAUCAUCCUUCCAGAAUACACCGACCUGAUUCCUUUAAAGCCAAGGAUAUGUAGACAACCUCCGAAGCAAGGUUCGGUCAAACUUUUUCAAAAUGCUUCCAAAUAGAGUUUCAAAUGGGCAAAAAUUGUUCGUAAUUGUUCACUUUAUCUUUGCCCGAAAAUUCUUCUGAUUUUCGAGCAAAGAGGGGCAGCUGUGAGCACCUAAUUUUUGUUCUACAUGAAAAUAACUCCUAAAAAUAAAUCAAAAAUAAUUUUUUAAGGGAUUUUAAUUUUUUUUUUCUUUAUUUAGUUGCAUUUUUAAUAUUUUAAAAUUAUAGAAAAAUGAUAAAAAUAUCAUAUUUCAAUUUCAUGUCAUUUUAGGUCCAAUUUGCAUUUAGGAAUUUAAUUUCAUAAUUUAAUUUCAUUCAUUAAACAAAAAUCACAAAAAUAUUGCUACAAUAGGCAUGUCCGCAUUUUAACUUUUAUUUUUAAAUUAAUUAGUGUUAAAUUAGUAAAAUAAGUAAGAUGAACUUUACAAAUUAAUUUAAGCUAGAGCAGAAUUUUAUUUAGCUUGUUUAAUUAAUUCAAUUAGAUUUCUGAAAUCAAAAGAAAAACAAAGAAAAGAAGUAGAUUUGGUCUUUCAAUUUCGUUUGGGCCAGCUUAACUUGGAGCCCAAAAAUACCAAAUUACCCAAGCCCAAAAUAUUGAACUCAUACUCAUUCCCCAUUUGACCUAACCUAAUCCCUAUAAAAUAAAGCUAAGACCUAAAAAUAGCUGGACCCCAAUUUCCCCUAUUAGCCGUUUUGCUUGAUCUUCUACAGAUCCAUCGUCUCUCACACAAAAAUGAAGACAUUUCCUCAAUCUAGCUAAAAGAAAGAACUCUCGUCUGAAGGAGCGAUUAUAUUUGUAGAGGCAGGACCCAUAGAAAAACAAAAAAAAAGAAAAGAAAAACGGCGUAGCAGAAAAACUAAAGAGAAAAUCCUAAUUCCUAAGAAGAAAGAGAACGGAGCCUAAGGCUUUUGUUAGACAAUGAUCUAACAAAAUUGAGAAGGGAAUCUGAUUGGGAACCAAAAAUAGGGACCUAAACGGGAAAAAAAGGCAGCGUCGAUUACAAAAGAAAAAGAGACCACUGUCUCAAAUUCCCAAAACAAUUUUGAGGAGCUGUCCGAGGUUCUUCGAAGUUUCACCACUUCCGACGAGCUCUCUUUCACCAUAAAACGCAGCAGCUCAAUUGUUCUCUUAAUUUGAGUUCAGCCCGUGAAGGUCGUCAAGGUCACCGUGGUUUUGAGAAUGAAGUUGAUUCACUAGAGGUAUUUUGUUUGUUUUUCUUCUUCAGAUAUUGUCUUCAUGAUUUAUUGAAAUUUUAAGGUCAUUAAUUGUUUGAUUAAACAUUAAAAUCAGGAAUAACAUAUAUUGCUACCUUGAAAAUUUGAUACUUUUAGCCCUUUCUGUUUUUUUUACUUCUUGAAAAAUGACGUUAUGUUUGGUUCCUUAGUUGAUGUUUUACUGUCCAGAUCUAUCGUUGUAGUUUCUUGGUUCAUGAAUUAACAAUAUCCUAGCUAUCAUUACUUUAGUUUGUUGGAUAAAUAUUGAAUAACAUAAGUACAUAACUGUAAUGUGAAGAACAAUGAGAGGUGGGUUUGAUUCCAAUUCUUAGGAAAGGAAGCAGAUUUGGGCCUACAGAGCUGGCCCAACUCAGAAACUCCACCGCUAUUAACCCACCUAUGAUUUGCAAUGUAGAUAAUUCUCUUACAGUUAUACUUUUUUUCCAUAAUAAUUUCCAUGCAUAUGGCCUUCUAUAAUCUCAAACUUUAGGAAAAUAAUCAGUCUAGAAUAUCGUAGCUUGCUUUAGGCGCGAUCAAUAAUAAAUUAUUGUGGUCAUGAGUACGAUUCCCGUGGCAUAAUUACGAUAAGUGAAUCUCAAUUCGGGGUGUAUUUCAUAUAACCCGAUCAUAACAACUUCAAAUAAUAAAACCCUUUGAAAUAAAUGGAGGCGUGUCAUGCCAAGCAAAAUUUAUAAUCCAUGGUCUUCAUAAGAUUAGAUUCAGGAACUAACACUUAUAGAAAAAGGUUUGAGGUGUGCCAUAAAUAAAUUAAAUCAUUCAUGAACCUCGCAAAUAUUACUAUUGAAAAUUGAAUCUUCGUAGUUGCUUUGGGCGCGUUACUUAAAUAAUUCAUCAUAACUACGAGUAUGAUUCCCGUGACGUAGUUGUGAUUUUUUUUAAUUGUAUAUUUCAUGUGACCCAAUUUUAAUUUUCAACAAUGUUAAAUAAAGCGUGUUGCGAAUCACUAUUGCAUUUCAUGUAGCGUGAUUUAAGACGUGUUUUAAAUAAUAUUGAAUUUUCCUAAAAAAUAACUAAAGAGUUUACAAAAGCUAAAAAUGCAAAAUAGGUUAAAACAUGUAGUUAAUCAAAUAAUAGGCCAUUUUUAACAGUUUAAACGACCGUGCUAGAACCACGGAACCCGGGAAUGCCUAACACCUUCUCCCGAGUUAACAGAAUUCCUUAUCUAGAAUUUCUGGUUCACACACUUUAAAAAAUAAAAAAUUUCUCGAUUUGGGAUUUUAAAUAAACCGGGUACUUGGCACACCAAAUAAACUAUACCAAGUGGUGACUCUGAAAAAAUUAAAUAAAAUAAUCUCAUUUCGAAUAAUGUCAAUUAAAUUAAAAAAACUCCCUUUAUACCCUCGGGUAGUGUAAAAAGGAAGUGUGACAGCAUAGGCCAACUCAAACUGCCUCUCUACCUAACCUUUAGCGAGCGCAACAACUGCUUCGCGAAUGCGAUGCUUAACCAGCUCAUUCCUUUACGAACGCGGGCCUCACCUCGCGAACGCGUAGACCAAAGAUCUGGGGUCCCCAACUGCCUCACUCCUCUUUGCGAACGCGACCGCACUCAUGUGUUCGCGAUGCACACACUGCCUUACCCUUCGCGUUUGCGUUCUACCCUUUGCAAACGCAUAGAAUAAACCCACCACCACAGAAGACACUCUUCGCGAACGCGAGACACUCUCUUCGAACGCGAUGAACAAACCUCUGCAACCAAAAACCAGCAAAGUCUGCAACUCUCAAAACUAAGAAUUUGAUUCGAUAACCUCCCGAAACUCACCCAAGGCCUCGGGACCUCAACCAAAAUGCCAACACAUCUCAUAACAUCAUUCAAACUUAGUCGAGCCUUCGAAUCACUCAAAACAAUACCAAAACGUCCAAUCAAUCUCGAAUUCAAACCUAAAAAACCUAAAAAAUUUCAAAUUCCACAAACGACACCAAAAUCUAUCAAAUCAACUCCGAAUGACCUGAAAUUUUGUACACACAUCACAAAUGACACUACAAACCUACUCCAACUUCCGAAAUUUCAUUCCGACCCCGAUAUCAAGAUUUCCACUGCCGACCAAAAACUCCAAAUUUCUAAUUUUGCCAAAUCAAAUCUAAAUCUACCACGAACCUCUAAAUCACAUUCCGGACGUGCUCCCAAGUCCAAAAUCACCUAAAGGAGCUAACCAAUCAUAAAAAUCCAAAUCCGAGAUCGAAUACUAAGAAGUCAAAACUUGGUCAAACCUUUCAAAUUUAAAGCUUCAAACUGAGAAUUGUUCUUCCAAAUCUAUUCCGAUUAUCCUGAAAACCAAAACUAACGAUUUACAUAAGUCAUAAUACAUCACACAGGGCUAGUCAUGCCCGAGAACUGGCGAGCGAAGUACAAAUACUCAAAACGACCGAUCGGGUCGUUACAUGAAGGCAUUAAUUUAACAAAAAUGAGCAGCGUGCCAAAAAAAGUUAUGUUCAUCCUUCAUUUGAAAAAAAGGUCAGUAAUUUUACAUGCGAGAUACUUUAUCCUAUUAAUACAAGUGAGCUCAAUAUUUGCUAAUUCAGAUGAAUUCUAACCAACAGACACCAAGUUGGUGUCAAAUGACAAUAUACAGUGUGGAUUUACAUCUAACCUUCAAAAAGAAAGGGUUUGAAUUUUGCUCGAAGAUAUCAAUAACUUCUCUAAUAAAUUAAAGAAAAGCCGAAGGGCUCCAACUUAGAUUUGAAAUCAAAGAUGCAGAUACCAAUUUGAGGAUUUGAUAGACCUAGUUGGUUUUAUAUUCAUUUAAUUCAGGGUAGGAAUGAUAUGCUUUUGGCGGCAAUAAGUGGCAUAUUGAAGGAUUCAACUUGAAACUUUAGAACAUUCACCACUAUCUCAGAAACAAAUAUUGAACAUACAAAUACAACUACAAUCUCAUAGGAUUACUAACCUUAACUUUUUGCUCUUUGGCUGGGGCAGUCAUAAUUCCUUGACAACUGUAAAAAACAUGACAACCAUAUAUUAAAAAAAUAAAUAAAACGGGGCACUUUACCAGAUUGCAACAGAAUGGACACUUUUAAUAGUCCUGUGAAAAGAAAAGCGAUUCAGCAAAACUUCAAAUUGAAUGUGCUUUUGCAAUGUGCACAUCCAAAGAUUUCACUUUUCAAGUAGUUCGCGUGUAAAUAAAAUAGAACUACCAAUGGUUACAACAGGAUAUCCAAUACGAGAAUCGCACCAAAAUAGUCGACCCUAAGCUGCAAAAACUAAAUCUAUUUUCUUCAAUAUCAUUUUCAAUUUUAAAAGAAUGAAAAAAACUUCUACAAAGGUUUCCACGUACUACGGUUUGUUCUGACGGGGCGCGCGCAUAUAUAUACUCCCUCCGUUUCAAUUUAUGUGAAUCUAUUUCUUUUUUAGUCCGUGCCAAAAAGAAUGGCCCCUUUCCUUAUUUGGAAACAGUUUACCUUUACACAAUGAUUUAUAACCACACAAAAUAUAUGUAACUCAUUUUACUCCACAAGAUCAAAAAUAUCUCUUUUCUUAAACUCCGUACCCAGUCAAAUGGGUUCACAUAAAUUGAAAUGGAGGGAGUAUAACACAAUAACAACAUUCAGCCAUUUCAUAUAAAUCAAAAAAAUCGAAUUUCAAGUCAAAAAUCAUUUCAAGAACCUAAAAUCAAAAUAUAGAUCAAAGCAAAACCCAGCAAAUACAAACAAAUCAGAAAUAUCAAAGACCAAAAUUAGGUCUCAUAUCUGAUAACAAUGAAUACCUCAGGAUUGGAGAGGAGGGCGGGAAAAAGAGCGGAUCUUGAAUCAGAGCAAAGGGCUCUGCGGAGGAGAGGGAGCGUGGAUCUAACUCGCGCUGCCAUUGCCAUCGCAAGAGAAUCUUUUCUUCGACGCCGGUUUGUUUUCACCAGAGAUUAAUGGGGAAUUGUAGUGUUAAAAUUGGCUGAGUGAGGGUAGAGAGUCUCGAGGAGGCUGCGGUUUUACUGGCUCAACAUUUCAGAACUU